Molecule: ribosomal RNA, 440 nt
Filed under: uncultured bacterium
Lineage: Bacteria
Description: partial 16S ribosomal RNA
Rfam family: Bacterial small subunit ribosomal RNA
Source: RNAcentral
CCUACGGGGUGCUGCAGUGGGGGAUAUUGCACAAUGGGGGAAACCCUGAUGCAGCGACGCCGCGUGAGUGAAGAAGUAUUUCGGUAUGUAAAGCUCUAUCAGCAGGGAAGAAAAUGACAGUACCUGACCAAGAAGCCCCGUCUAACUACGUGCCAGCAGCCGCGGUAAUACGUAGGGAGCAAGCGUUAUCCGGCUUUACCGGGCGUUAAGGGAGCGUAGACGGUUAUGUGAGUCUAGAGUGAAAGCCCGGAGCCCAAACCCGGGAGUGCAUUGGAAACUGGGUAACUUGAGUAAAGGAGGGGUAGGCGGAAUGCGUGGUGUAGCGGUGAAAUGCGUAGAUAUCAGGAGGAACACCGGCGGCGAAGGCAGCAUACUGGAGUUAAACUGACGUUGAGGCACGAAAGCGUGGGGAGCGAACAGGAUUAGAUACCCGUGUAGUC